This 484-nucleotide ribosomal RNA is filed under the name uncultured bacterium. Its description in RNAcentral is "bacterial SSU rRNA". It matches the Rfam family "Bacterial small subunit ribosomal RNA", at positions 10 to 507 of the family's 1533-position model. The record is from RNAcentral.
AGUUUGAUCAUGGCUCAGAAUGAACGUUGGCGGCGUGGAUUAGGCAUGCAAGUCGUGCGCGAACUGUAGCAAUACAGGGAAAGCGGCGUAAGGGAGAGUAAUACGUAGGUAUCUACCCAUGGGUCUGGGAUAGCGGCGGGAAACUGCCGGUAAUACCAGAUAACGUCUCCGGACCAAAGGUGUGAUUCCACCUGUGGAGGAGCCUACGGCCUAUUAGCUAGUUGGCAGGGUAACGGCCUACCAAGGCUUGGAUGGGUACGGGGUGUGAGAGCAUGCCCCCGCUCACUGGGACUGAGACACUGCCCAGACACCUACGGGUGGCUGCAGUCGAGAAUCUUCGGCAAUGGGCGCAAGCCUGACCGAGCGACGCCGCGUGCGGGAUGAAGGCCUUCGGGUUGUAAACCGCUGUCGUAGGGGAUGAAGUGCAUCAGGGCAAUCCCUGGUGUUUGACAGAGCCUCGGAGGAAGCACGGGCUAAGUUCGUG